Molecule: ribosomal RNA, 253 nt
Filed under: uncultured bacterium
Lineage: Bacteria
Description: partial 16S ribosomal RNA
Rfam family: Bacterial small subunit ribosomal RNA
Source: RNAcentral
UACGUAGGGUGCGAGCGUUAAUCGGAAUUACUGGGCGUAAAGUGUGCGCAGGCGGUGAUGUAAGACAGAUGUGAGAUCCCCGGGCUCAACUUGGGAACUGCAUUUGUGACUGCAUCGCUGGAGUGCGGCAGAGGGGGAUGGAAUUCCGCGUGUAGCAGUGAAAUGCGUAGAUAUGCGGAGGAACACCGAUGGCGAAGGCAAUCCCCUGGGCCUGCACUGACGCUCAUGCACGAAAGCGUGGGGAGCAAACAGG